CAGCGGCGGCGUCAACAAUGUAUUAGUUUGUGAUUAGGUCUAGUUCAUGGUGAACCACUAGUGGUAGGUCAAUGAUAUUUGGUAUGCAGUUGUAUUAGCAUUGGCACAUCUCAUUACCAUGCAGAUUAUUUGGCCCCGCCCCCUCAGUCAAGGUCUAUUGACUUUGAAACUUUUCAUAGUUUACAUGUAUUAGUUUGUGAUUAGGUCAAUUUAUGGGGAACCACUAGUGGUAGGUCAAUGAUAUUUGGUAUGCAGUUGUAUAAGCAUUGGCAUAUCUGAUUUCCAUGGAGAUUAUUUGGCUCUGCCCCCUUAGACAUGGUCUGUAGACUUUGAAAAUUUUGCUAAGUUAACAUGUAUUAGUAUGUGAUUAGGUCAGUUCAAGGGGAACCAUUAGUAGUAGGCCAAUGUUAAUUGGUGUUCAGUUGUAUAAGUAUUAGCACAUCUCAUUUCCAUGGAGAAUAUUUGUCCCCACCCCCUCAGUCAUGGUCUAUUUACUUUGAAACUUUUGCUUAGUUUACAUGUAUUAGUUUGUGAUUAGAUCAGUUUAAGAUCAACUGCUAAUGUUAAGUCAAUGAUAUUUGGUAUGCAAAUUUACUGGCAUUUGCAAGUAUCGUUUCCAUGGAGAUUAUAUAGCCCCACCCCUGAUCAUGGUUCAUUGACUUUGAAACUUUUACAUAGUUUACAACUUAAUGUUUGUGUUUAGGUUUGUUUAAAGGGAACGACUUAUCAUUAGUCAAUGGUAUUUGGUAUGCAGUUGUAUUAGCAUUGGCACAUCUCAUUCCAUGGAGAUUGUUUAGCCAUGUACCUUCAGUCAUGGUUCAUUGACUUUGAAUAUUUGCAUAACUUACAUGUUAAAGUAUUGCUAUUUUAAUUUCAACAUUUGUAUUAUCAAAAUUACAAAAAGGCGAGACAUAUCUCUGUGAUAACAGUUUAUUUGUUAUUUUAAAAGAAAAGUGAUAUAAAGGUUCCAAAUGGAAUAUGAUUGCUUUGAGAUACCAUUACUGGCAUUAGAAUUGGUUGCAAAAAUAUUGGCUUGUUUUUUUCUUCUGCAAAUCUAGUCUGCUCUUGCCUAUAUUAUGAUUUAAGUUGAAUUUUAAGUGAGAAGAAAUGUUUUGAAACAUAUUCAAUUUUGAUUUUAUAAAUAAAAUAAAAAUAAGAAAAUUUUGAUUAACUUUAUAAUUCUUUCAUAUAAAGCUGUGAUCAGAUAGAUAUGAAUACUAUUUUUUUGUAGAUAAUAAUUCUUUUACAUGUGUAUUUUUUCAUGAUAAACAGGGUAAUUUAUUUUCUUCUUUUUUAUUUGUGUACAAAUAUAUGAUUUAAAAGCUACAAAAAAGGUCAUAUAUAAGAAAUCCUAAUUUGUUUUUAUUUUUUAUAAGAAAACGAUUCAUCAAAAUAAAAUGUUUAAGCUUAUUGUGUUCAAAAGUGUGAUAUCAGAAAUAUUUAGUAGCUUCAUCAGUUAUACUGUUUAUUUAGAUAAGUGGGUUUAUAUUGUAUAAAUCGGUUUUCACUACAAAUACCAGAUAGACCAAAGAUGUGUAAAAUAAAGUCAUUUUAUAGACAAUAUAUAUUCAUGUGCAAUCAGAUAUGUUUUUUUGUAAAUCAAAAUCAAUAGGUUGGAUGUUAUAUAAAAUAGCUCAGCUGAAAGAUAUUUUAAACCAUACUUCAGCUGUGAAAUGAAUUGUUAUCAAACCUGCAUGUUUACUGUUGAUUUUGGGGAAUUAUAGAGCUAACAUUCAGUUUAUGACUUAGUCACUCAAACUCGAUGAGGAAAACAUAUUUCAAGCCAUUUACUCAAGAUCAUCAGCCACAGGGAUUUUUCAGUGGAUCACUUUAAGUGCAUUGCAUAAUCAACUUAUUUUGAUACUUCAUCCAAAUGCCUUAUUGAUAUUUUUGUUAUUGUUUGUAGUUGUUUAUAUGGUAUUAUAUAUAAAUUAUUGUAUUGUG
Long non-coding RNA from Mytilus californianus (California mussel), 1944 nucleotides. RefSeq lists it as uncharacterized. The transcript is spliced from 2 exons. The record is from RefSeq and is a predicted model, not a curated record. Lineage: Eukaryota; Metazoa; Mollusca; Bivalvia; Mytilida; Mytilidae.